Molecule: long non-coding RNA, 962 nt
Organism: Vigna angularis (adzuki bean)
Lineage: Eukaryota; Viridiplantae; Streptophyta; Magnoliopsida; Fabales; Fabaceae
Exons: 3
Source: RefSeq, a predicted model, not a curated record
GGGUGAUACCCCCUUCCAGUAAGAGUCGAACCCCUCAUUGUCCUCUUCAGACCCAGAUGAAGAAGAACACGACAUCACCUCUGAUCUAUGAAAAAACUUCACCUUUUUCCUUCAAAACAAUACUCCUAAAUGCAUGAUCCUUCUUCUUUCUCUGUCUUGUCACACCCAAGUUUUGUUGUGCAGUUCUCUUUCUUUUUAGAUUUUAAAUAGAUCCCCUUUUCUUGAACCGAAAAUUUGAAGCUUUUGUUUCGGAGAUGGAAGGGUGUGUGGCGUUCUCAAAUCACGAGUCUCUCUCUUCAACAAUCCUCCACUUUUUUCUCUCUGUUUUCUCUUUUGCUUCCUGCAAUGUUCUCUAACGAUGUGUAUUGUGUGGGUCUUGCAUUUUUCAUAGGUUCGUCUUUUGUUCUUUUUUUCCCAAAUUAAUUGUUUCUUGCUCCCUUACGUUUAUGCCCUUUGGCAUCUGAAUUUUGUAUGAACAGUGGAAGGCCUUUUAGGGAAGAUAAGUACUAUGGAUGUUAUUUUAGGUGGGGAGGAAUAAUCAGAGUCUUGAAAAAGAAUUCUCUUGCAUAAGCUUCAGCCGUUGGUAUAAAAAUUGAAUCUUUCUCAAUAAAAGCCAACUUUGACACCAUCUUCGUUGCAACGUACAGUGAUCCCUCUAACAGAUCCCCGCACGCGAAGUCCAUCGCCACCACCUUCAUACACGCGUUCAGAUUCUUUACCUUGAUUUCACGCGCAACGACUUCUAGCUUCUACAAGGUUAUGCUGACGAGGAUGUGGUUGAGCUCUUGCUCUACCAACUGGCAGGUGAAGGCCUUUCCAAUGUCGUUAGUGGCUCCGGUGACCACAGCCCAAGAACCGAUCUGUUCAGAGCUUGGUUUCAAGGUCAACAUUUUCCUCAAGUGUAAGGGUUUGCCUCACAAGUGAUAAGGGUCUGACACGUUUCAGAAAAAAGGGAAAAUUGA